This 881-nucleotide long non-coding RNA is filed under the name Sorghum bicolor (sorghum). Its description in RNAcentral is "long non-coding RNA (SBIC_LNC006169)". The record is from RNAcentral. Lineage: Eukaryota; Viridiplantae; Streptophyta; Magnoliopsida; Poales; Poaceae.
CAGCUCUAGAACCGAUUCAUGAGGGCCUUGAUCCAAGCCAGCACACCACUCUCCUCUUCUCCAUCUGCCUGCUUCUCGGCGUCCUCGGCAUGGCGGUGGCUGUGGUCGCGGUGGCCGUGGCCGUGGCCGUGGCCGUGACCGUGGCCGAACCUCCUUCUCCUCAUGAUCGCCUUCCUGAACCGCCGGACCAUCUCUUCCACCUGUUCAUCUUCAUCCUCGUCGUCGUUGUCCCCGCCGUGCUCAGCGUGACGGAGCCGCUUCCUCACCAUAUUCUUCUCCUCGUCGUCCUCUUCGUCGUGGUGGUGGAAGUGGAACCGCUUCAUGCUCAUGCCCUCUGGGGCAGCCUCGUCCGGGCCCUCCUCCUCGUCGUGGUGGUGGUGGUGGAGACGGUGGCGGCGCAUGCCGUGGUGGAAGUGGAAGUGGAACCACCUCCGCAGCAUCUCCUUCUUCCACGCCCUGACCGCCGCUGCGUGCUCGCCGUCCUCCUCGUGCCCGUCGGCGUCGGCGAACGACGGCUCCUUGCUGGCCACCAGCUCCCCGUCUCCGUCACUGUCUGGGAGAGAACGAUCCGGGUCCGGCUCGGCCACGGGCUUCACCUCCUCCGCCUCCCUGACCUCCUCUGCCAUGGGGAACCUGAGCGGCGCGUCACGGUAGACGCCGUGGUGGCGCUUCCACCAGAGGUGGUGGUGGAGGCUGCAGGGGCGGUGGCGGUGGUGCCGGUGGGACGGCAGGCGGAGGAAUUCUAACCCAUGCUGCUGCUGCUCCGCCGGGAGGACCUCCUCCUCGGUGGCGCUGGCGCCCGCCUCGGCGGGGAGGGUGGGGUUGGAUAGCCCAUUCUCGUCGCUGACGGCCACGGCGCCGGCGGCGGUUGAUUCGGGCUC